RNAcentral lists this long non-coding RNA (531 nucleotides) under Physcomitrium patens. RNAcentral describes it as "long non-coding RNA (PPAT_LNC012656)". The record is from RNAcentral. Lineage: Eukaryota; Viridiplantae; Streptophyta; Bryopsida; Funariales; Funariaceae.
CAACUCACUUGCUUCAAUGCUUAAAUUUCAUGCAUUUUGCAUGACAUUACACAUGAGUUUCCUUAUGCAACACAAUCCACUGCCACACAUCAUUGUAUUUAAGACAGAUUUCAACAUACAGAACUACAAAUUAACUUACUUAGGAAUCAGUUCAGAAACUCUUGAUAUUUGAGUUUUGGAGAGGCAUACAUUACACACAAGCUUACAGGCAAUAUCCUCAAUUAAUGUUGUUGUGGCUGCAUACAUGCUUGCCACUGCACCCCUGCCACCUCAUUUUAUAACUAAAUAACUAUAUACAUAUAUAUAUAUAUAUAUAUAAACACAUAAUUUUUAUUUUUUUGUUUUAACAUUUUUUCUAAUAUAAUGCUUGUAAUUGCUCUUGCAUGGAUGGUGAUCCAAAGCCUUGUUGCCAUCUAAACCACACCCAACCAACUUCUACAAUAGCCCAUUCACCCACCUAAUCCACACCUCUAAUCCAUUACACCAAGCCUCCAAAUUUUGUUUCAUUCCUUGGACCCCUCAAAUCCAUCU